This 1668-nucleotide long non-coding RNA is filed under the name Brachypodium distachyon (stiff brome). RNAcentral's name for it is "long non-coding RNA (BDIS_LNC001543)". The record is from RNAcentral. Lineage: Eukaryota; Viridiplantae; Streptophyta; Magnoliopsida; Poales; Poaceae.
GAUGUUUGCUUGGUCAUAUUUUAUUACCCUAGCAUCCAAAUAUGGCAGAGGAAGGUCAAUUGUCAUGGUGUUGCCACCUGGUUGCUGCGCAAGAGUGUUGAUAUGCAUAAUAUUAUUGGGCUUCAUCCUCAGAUUGAGGGAUGGGUCGGAGGAUAUAUACUGGGAUAUGUUGAGGAUAUCGAUGUCAUUUUUAUAUGUAUUGACUCCAACUUCUACAUGGUUCAACUUAAGUCAAUGCAAUUCAAGAGACUACAUCGAAUUGAAUAUAUCGUUUACUGCUAUCCUUUCACAAGCUUUUAUACACCAGGUGAUUGCUCAUCCCUACUCCCUAUAUGGUAGGAGUAACCCAGUCCAGUUAUGUUCCUUACGUCGGUGCUCGAACAUUUUAUUCUGCUCUUUAAGUCGCUAGCAACUUAAGCAUAGCUAGCGGUUUCCCUUUGUUAGAUAGACAAACGUAUAUCUGUUUUGUUUUUGGAGUCAUCAAUCAACGCAGCUAUCUUCCUUAUUGGGCAAUGCCGAAUCAAAUGUCAAAUCCUAGGAUGUGCACUAAUUGUGUCUCGAGUGUGUUUGUACUUGGUAUCUCUGGGCCUGUAAAUACUCUUCCACCAUUUCAAUACAACGAGACGCAAUGUUUUUGCGUUUUCUCGAGGGGAAAAAAUCAAAUGUCAAUUAGUAAAAUAUUGUCAAAUGAGAAACUGAGUUAGACUGUUUGGAAUGUCAAAGCUUGAUAUUUUUUUAUCGAGUACUAUCUAUUUAAUCUUACUAUUUCUUGGCAGCAACUUUGACUGAAUCCAUACCUUUUGAAAUAAUUGUUUUCUUUGUCAGUUCUUGAAGACCCUCCACCGAGUGACUAGUACAUUUGUAGCACACCAAAAGAAAUUGCAUUUCUUGUCUCUAAUCAGGCUCCAUUUACUUAAAACUGAAUACCAAAGAUUACUUUUGUUGCUAGAGUUUGUUAGUUUUAGCAUGUUUUAUUUUUGUCUGCCUGGCAUGACAUGUGAUGAAUUUACAUGAGAAAAAUUGUAAGCGCUGUUUUUUUUUCUUCUCUGCUGAAACCUUCAUUAUGAGAUACUCCCUCCUUCUGUAAAAGAUGUUUGGGUUUUCCAAGAAAAUUAAGCAAUUUGUAGAAACCUCCCUCCUCCCCUCCAUUAAGCUGAUGCUUCGAUUCAAACAACAUUUACUACUCUUGUCACGGGCGCAGUCCUAGGUAUCCAAAUAAGAGACAUAUCACAUUAGUAUCUUCUAAAGGGGAAGACUGAUUGGCGGACGACCGCCCGGCGCGGACGAAUUCCGACCAGGUGACUCACCGCCGCCCGGCCCUGGCCCAACUGGAUGUCUGCCGCCGUCUGCGGCCGGCGCGCUACUGCGCCGCCUCGCCGCACCGCCCUCUCCAACCGCCACCACCGCCGGUUCGCCGCCGCCCCCGCCAUCCUCUAAGCUCGGGAUCCGGUGGUCUUAUCCGGCGCCGGCCAACCCCCGCCCCCUAACUCUAAGAAAGGUCGUCGGGACUUACCUCUUCACCACCAUCACCUCCUCGCUUUCGCUGUCAUCGACGCGGCCUGCCGUGUCGCCGCCGCCGCGGCUCGAUCUAGGCCUCGCCGUCUUCGGCUCGGACCUGACUCACCCUCGCCGGCUCUGACUCGCCUUGCCGCUUGCUCUGUUGAAUCG